CCUACGGGCGGCUGCAGUGGGGAAUAUUGCACAAUGGGGGGAACCCUGAUGCAGCAACGCCGCGUGAGUGAAGAAGCUCUUCGGAGCGUAAAACUCUGUCCUAAGGGAAGAAGAAUGACGGUACCUUAGGAGGAAGCCCCGGCUAACUACGUGCCAGCAGCCGCGGUAACACGUAGGGGGCGAGCGUUAUCCGGAAUUACUGGGCGUAAAGCGUGCGUAGGCGGCCAUGCAAGCUUGGGGUUUAAAGCUGCGGCUUAACCGCAGUACGCCUUUAGAACUGUAUGGCUUGAGUGCAGGAGAGGAGAGUGGAAUUCCUAGUGUAGCGGUGAAAUGCGUAGAGAUUAGGAGGAACACCAGUGGCGAAGGCGACUCUCUGGACUGUAACUGACGCUCAGGCACGAAAGCGUGGGUAGCGAACAGGAUUAGAUACCCUAGUAGUC
Molecule: ribosomal RNA, 440 nt
Filed under: uncultured Eubacteriales bacterium
Lineage: Bacteria; Bacillati; Bacillota; Clostridia; Eubacteriales
Description: bacterial SSU rRNA
Rfam family: Bacterial small subunit ribosomal RNA
Source: RNAcentral